Oryza sativa Japonica Group (Japanese rice) is the source of this 780-nucleotide non-coding RNA. Lineage: Eukaryota; Viridiplantae; Streptophyta; Magnoliopsida; Poales; Poaceae. The record is from RefSeq and is a predicted model, not a curated record.
ACCGUAAAAUCGACUUUAUUCCUGGGGUUUUCGCUUCGAAAAUCAAAAGACGAAUCGAAGCGGAAGUGCUCGUCUUCUCGGCUUCUUCUAACUAGGUAAUUCGAGCAAGCAACUCCAUCUAGUAGCCAUUCUUCUGCGGAUGGGCUUGCUCCAGGAGUCCCGGGCGAUUCCGGAUUAGCGCCGUGUUAUUUGGUCUCCGAUCCGAGGCGGUAAUUUAGGGCAGGUUUUUUUUUUCACCUAAAAUUUUGAUUUGGGGGUCAAUGCUGAGUUGCUUUUAGUUUUAGCUUUAGGUAGUAGAAAAGAGGGUGCCCGGUAAUAUCUGGGGGUUUUGUUGGAUUCGACGUUUUGGAGUCGCUUUCGUAUGCCCGUUUAACCAAUUUUGAUGCGUUAUACCAUAGAUCCUGCUGGAUGGAUGGUGGAUUGCUGCAGGUUUCUUCGGUCAUCUGAAAGAUUCAUUCUUAUCCAACCAGGAACUAAUGGCUGGUCUCUAUGUGUGAUUAUGAAGAUCUGGACUUAAUCUGAGAUGUCUUUAUCAAGUGAACAUAAAUAUAUCAGCUUGGCAAAGUUGACUAGAGAAGCAAUUAAGAGAUAGUAGAGUGUCCAUGGAAGGCGACCUCAUUAUGUUGCAACGUGGGAGCAGCAGUACCAAUUGGUUAGUUCAGCUAACCUGUGAUGACAGACUCGUAAACAUCCCAUUUAUGUGAUUGACUGUUCUUGCUGUGAUUUUUUCCCCAUUUUCUAUGCUCGACUAGAUUACCUUGUCUAAUGAAACAGCACAGC